This is a long non-coding RNA of Chelonia mydas (Green sea turtle), 884 nucleotides long. RefSeq lists it as uncharacterized. The record is from RefSeq and is a predicted model, not a curated record. NCBI's taxonomy places the organism in Eukaryota, Metazoa, Chordata, Testudines, Cheloniidae. The transcript has 3 exons.
AGAGAUGUAGGAGCCAUUUCUAUGACAGUGACUGCUGCUGCUUCAGUGCCGUUCUCAUGAACAUGCAGCAGGGCCUUGUGAACAGCCUGCAAGGAAACGAAGCAAACAUUACAGUCUAAGCACAGAAGAGUGGGCAUUGGCUGAAAAUGCACACGCUCACUUUUAAACCAGAGCUCUUUGGAAAAUCAGCUGUUAAGACAUGGGCCCAAUAAGAGCAGGACUGAUGGAGCACAAUGGAAGAAAUACAGACAGCAUUCCCAAUGAGUUCAUUAGGAGCUUUGUCUGUGUAAGUAAGUACUGCAGGGUUAGGCGCAUCAAUAUUAAAAGACUGAGCUGGAGGAAUCAAAUCACUACAAAGGGACUCUCCUAUUCACUACUCCUCAGCACAGACGAAUAGUCUCUCAGAAUCUGAAAUAGAUGUCUAGUGAAGAAUUAAUUUACAGCAGAAAAUUGGAUCAGAUUCAGGAGAAAUGAUGACCUCAGAGGGAAAGGAACCAGCUAGCUGAGCUCCAGUCUCUUCUCUCCAAGGAUAACAAAAGGCUUUAGCACCAUUAAUGAAUUAAAGGUGUUCUACAAAUGACAGAAAAUACAUUAGGAUGAUACCAUCAUUGCUUACAUAAAGAAGGCCUGAGAGGGCUUGCCCAUCGAAGGGAAGGUCUUGCAUCAACUGCUGAGCCUCCGUGGACAAGCCAAAGGGGAGCAGCCAGGAUGCCUGAUACAUAGCAUCGCCCUCCUCCAUGAUUGCCUGGAACUCCUUCCUAGAAGCCUCAGGAAGUAAGCCCUCAAACUUGGCAUGGCUUGCCACAUGUUAAAGUCAUAGCGUCCCAGCAGGGCCUGAUGGUUGGCCACCCUCCACUGGAGACUAGAGGACGAAUAAACCUUAC